UCACAGCAUCAGGCCUAAAAGGAAGACUGAAAAAAAAAAAAAAAAAGAACUUAUUCAAAUCUUUAACAUUUAAGAGUAAGAGAACGCUCAGGAAAGAUUGUCAUGAAUUACCAGAAAUUGCAAAAGCCCCUGUUACAUGUCUUGGAAACACCUAUCAAGAGACCAAGGCUAGAUAUAAUUUCUUACACAACUCUACGAACGAGAAAUGAAACUGCCUGUCACUGUCCAAGGUGCUGACAAGAACAGCAAUCCAAAGAAUGAGGAACUGGUGCUC
This 274-nucleotide long non-coding RNA is filed under the name Bos taurus (domestic cattle). Its description in RNAcentral is "long non-coding RNA NONBTAT027068". Lineage: Eukaryota; Metazoa; Chordata; Mammalia; Artiodactyla; Bovidae. The record is from RNAcentral.